UACGUAGGGCGCGAGCGUUAUCCGGAAUUACUGGGCGUAAAGCGCACGUAGGCGGCUUUGUAAGUUAGGGGUGAAAGCCUGGAGCUCAACUCCAGAAUUGCCUUUAAGACUGCAUCGCUUGAAUCCAGGAGAGGUGAGUGGAAUUCCGAGUGUAGAGGUGAAAUUCGUAGAUAUUCGGAAGAACACCAGUGGCGAAGGCGGCUCACUGGACUGGUAUUGACGCUGAGGUGCGAAAGCGUGGGGAGCAAACAGG
RNAcentral lists this ribosomal RNA (253 nucleotides) under uncultured bacterium. RNAcentral's name for it is "partial 16S ribosomal RNA". It matches the Rfam family "Bacterial small subunit ribosomal RNA", at positions 524 to 776 of the family's 1533-position model. The record is from RNAcentral.